This 2597-nucleotide ribosomal RNA is filed under the name Klebsiella pneumoniae. RNAcentral describes it as "bacterial LSU rRNA". It matches the Rfam family "Bacterial large subunit ribosomal RNA". The record is from RNAcentral. Lineage: Bacteria; Pseudomonadati; Pseudomonadota; Gammaproteobacteria; Enterobacterales; Enterobacteriaceae.
GGUUACGACAAGCUACACGGUGGAUGCCCCGGCAUGAGGCGAUGAAGGUCGUGCAUCUGCGAAAGCGUCGGUAAGGUGAUAUGAACCGUUAUAACCGCUGAUGUCCGAAUGGGAAACCCAGUGUGAUUCGUCACACCAUCGUUAAUAAUACAUAGGUUAACGAGCGACCGGAACUGAACAUUAAGUACCCCGGGAAAAGAAAUCACCGAUUCCAGUAGCGGCGAGCGAAUGGGGAGCAGCCCAGUCUAAUCAGCCUGGUGUUAGUGGAACGGUCUGGAAAGUCCGAUGGUACAGGUGUAGUCCGUACACCAAAAUGCCAGUGUGAACUCGAAGAGUAGGGCGGGACACGGUACUGUCUGAAUAUGGGGACCAUCCUCCGCUAAAUACUCCGACUGACCGAUAGUGAACCAGUACCGUGAGGAAAGGCGAAAAGAAGCGAGGGGAGGAAAAGAACCUGAAACCGUGUACGUCAAGCAGUGGAGCAAUCUUCGCGUGACUGCGUACCUUUUGUAUAAUGGUCAGGACUUAUAUUCAGCAGGUUGAUCCGUAUAGGGCUGCAGAACUAGUCUAACUGGCGUUAUUGCAGGGUAUAGCCGAAACCCGGAUUCAGCCAUGGGCAGGCUGAAGGUUGGGUAACACUCAACUGAGACCGAACCGACUAAGUGAAAAUUAGCGGAUGACUUGUGGCUGGGGUGAAAGGCCAAUCAAACCGGAGAUAGUGGUUCUCCCCGAGCUAUUUAGGUAGCGCCUCGUGAAUUCAUCUUCGGUAGAGCACUGUUUCGGCUAGGGGUCAUCCCGACUACCAACCCGAUGCAAACUACGAAUACCGAAGAAUGUUAAUCGGGAGACACACGGCGGUGCUACGUCCGUCGAAGGGAACAACCCAGACCGCCAGCUAAAUCCCAAAGUCAUGGUUAUGGAAACGAUGUGGAAGGCACAGAUGAUGCUUGAAGCAGCCAUCAUUUAAAAGCGUAAUAGCUCCAUGGUCGAGUCGGCCUGCGCGAAGAUGUAACGGGCUCCAUGCACCGAAGCUGGCAGCGACACCAUGUGUGGGUGGGAGCGUUCUGUGCCUGCGAAGGUGACCCGGAGGGUUGCUGGCAGCAUCAGAAGUGCGAUGCUGACAUAAGUAACGAUAAAGGGUGAAAAGCCGCUCGCCGGAAGACCAAGGUUCCUGUCCAAACGUUGGCAGGGUGAGUCGACCAAGGCGAGGCCGAAAGGCGUAGUCAUGGAAACAGGUUAAUAUUCCUGUACUUGAGUUACUGCGAGGGGACGGAGAAGGCUAUGUUAGCCGGCGACGGUUGUCCGGUUUACAUGUAGGCUGGUUGUCCGUGCAACCGGAUAAUCAAGCUGAGGUGAUGACGAGGCACUACGGUGCUGAGUAACAAAUGCCCGCUUCCGUGAAACCUCUACAUCAGGUAACAUCAAAUCGUACCCCAAACCGACACGGGUGUCAGGAGAAUACCAAGGCGCUUGAGAACUCCGGGUGAAGGAACGCAAAAUGGUGCCGUAAUCGAGAAGGCACGCUGGUGGUGAAGUCCCGGAUGGGCUGACCAGUCGAAGAUACCAGCUGGUAACUUUUAUUAAACACAGCACUUCAAACACGAAAGUGGACGCUACGGUGACGCCUGCCCGGUAGAGGUUAAUGAUGGGGUUAUCCAAGGAGAAGCCUUGAUCGAAGCCUGAAACGCGGCCGUAACUAUAACGGUCCUAAGGUAGCGAAAUCUUGUCGGUAAGUUCCGACCUAUGAAUGGCGUAAGAUGGCGGCUGUUCCCCGAGCUCAGGAAUGAACUGCUGUAAGAUGCAGUGUACCCGCGCGACGGAAGACCCGUGAACCUUUACUAUAGCUGACACUGAACAUUGAGCCUUGAUGUAGAUAGGUGGGAGGCUUUAGGUGGACGUUAGUGCGUGGAGCCAACCUGAACCACCCUACUUUGAUGUUCUAACGUUGGCCCCGACCGGGGUUGGGACAGUCUGUGGGUUUGACUGGGGCGGUCCUCCCAAAGCGUAACGGAGGACACGAGGAACUAACUGGUCGACAUCAGGAGGUUGGCAAUGGCAUUGUUGACUGCGAGCGUGACGGCGAGCAGGUGAGCAGGUCAUAGUGAUCGGUGGUUCAAUGAAGGCAUCCUCCGGAUAAAAUCUCCGGGAUAACAAUACCGCCCAGAGUCUACGACGGCGGUGUUGGCACCUCGAUGUCGCUCAUCCCCGGGCUGAAGUAGGUCCGGGUAUGGCUGUUCGCCAUUUAAAGUGGUACGCGAGCUGGGUUUAGAACGUCGUGAGACAGUUCGGUCCCUAUCUGCCGUGGGCGCUGGAGAAUUGAGGGGGGCUGCUCCUAGUACGAGAGGACCGGAGUGGACGCAUCACUGGUGUUCGGGUUGUCAUGCCAAUGGCACUGCCCGGUAGCUAAAUGCGGAAGAGAUAAGUGCUGAAAGCAUCUAAGCACGAAACUUGCCCCGAGAUGAGUUCUCCCUGAGACUUUAAGUCUCCUGAAGGAACGUUAAAGACGAUGACGUUGAUAGGCCGGGUGUGUAAGCGCAGCGAUGCGUUGAGCUAACCGGUACUAAUGAACCGUGAGGCUUAACCUUACAACGCCGAAG